Molecule: ribosomal RNA, 494 nt
Filed under: uncultured bacterium
Lineage: Bacteria
Description: partial 16S ribosomal RNA
Rfam family: Bacterial small subunit ribosomal RNA
Source: RNAcentral
GACGAACGCUGGCGGCGUGCUUAACACAUGCAAGUCGAACGGUGAAGCGCCUUCCUUUUUGGUGGGUGUGGAUGAGUGGCGAACGGGUGAGUAACACGUGAGUAACCUGCCCCCUUCUUCUGGAUAACCGCAUGAAAGUGUGGCUAAUACGGGAUAUUCUGGGUCUGUCGCAUGAUGGGUCUGGGAAAGAUAUUGUUUCGGUGGGGGUUGGGCUCGCGGCCUAUCAGCUUGUUGGUGGGGUGAUGGCCUACCAAGGCGGUGACGGGUAGCCGGCCUGAGAGGGUGGACGGUCACACUGGGACUGAGACACGGCCCAGACUCCUACGGGAGGCAGCAGUGGGGAAUAUUGCACAAUGGGCGCAAGCCUGAUGCAGCGACGCCGCGUGAGGGAUGGAGGCCUUCGGGUUGUGAACCUCUUUCGCAAGUGAAGCAGGCCUGCCUCGUUUGUGGGUGGGUUGACGGUAGCUGGAUAAGAAGCGCCGGCUAACUACGUG